GGAGCUAUGUACCUUCUUGCAGGGAGUC
RNAcentral lists this non-coding RNA (28 nucleotides) under Homo sapiens (human). The record is from RNAcentral. Lineage: Eukaryota; Metazoa; Chordata; Mammalia; Primates; Hominidae.